This 253-nucleotide ribosomal RNA is filed under the name uncultured bacterium. RNAcentral describes it as "partial 16S ribosomal RNA". It matches the Rfam family "Bacterial small subunit ribosomal RNA", at positions 524 to 776 of the family's 1533-position model. The record is from RNAcentral. RNAcentral also lists the same sequence under 1 other name.
UACGGGGGGGGCAAGCGUUGUUCGGAAUUACUGGGCGUAAAGGGCUCGUAGGCGGCCCUCUCAGUCGGAUGUGAAAUCCCCAGGCUUAACCUGGGAACGGCAUCCGAUACUGGAGGGCUUGAAUUCGGGAGAGGGAUGCAGAAUUCCAGGUGUAGCGGUGAAAUGCGUAGAUAUCUGGAGGAACACCGGUGGCGAAGGCGGCAUCCUGGACCAACACUGACACUGAGGAGCGAAAGCCAGGGGAGCAAACGGG